Dipodomys ordii (Ord's kangaroo rat) is the source of this 65-nucleotide non-coding RNA. Lineage: Eukaryota; Metazoa; Chordata; Mammalia; Rodentia; Heteromyidae. The record is from Rfam.
GGUGGCUCAGCGGUAGAGUGUUUGCCUUGCUUGCAAGAGGCCCUGGGUUCGAUUCCUCAGCACCA